GAUGAACGCUAGCGGCAGGCCUAAUACAUGCAAGCCGAACGGCAAGAACUUUAGCAAUAGAGUUCCUAGAGUGGCGUAAGGGUGCGUAACACGUAUGCAAUCUGCCCGCAACAGGAGGAUAGCUCCCCGAAAGGGGAAUUAAGACUCCAUAAGAUCACAGGAAGGCAUCUGAGAGUGAUUAAACUACCAGGGGUUGCGGAUGAGCAUGCGCANGAUUAGUUAGUUGGCGGGGUAACGCCCACCAAGACGAUGAUCAUUAGGGGAACUGAGAGGUUGAUCCCCCANACUGGCACUGAGAUACGGGCCAGACUCCUACGGGAGGCAGCAAGUAGGGAAUAUUGGACAAUGGGUGCAAGCCUGAUCCAGCCA
Molecule: ribosomal RNA, 369 nt
Filed under: uncultured bacterium
Lineage: Bacteria
Description: bacterial SSU rRNA
Rfam family: Bacterial small subunit ribosomal RNA
Source: RNAcentral